This 228-nucleotide long non-coding RNA is filed under the name Amborella trichopoda. RNAcentral describes it as "long non-coding RNA (ATRI_LNC003645)". Lineage: Eukaryota; Viridiplantae; Streptophyta; Magnoliopsida; Amborellales; Amborellaceae. The record is from RNAcentral.
UUAUAUAUAAGAGGUAAAAAAGAGCUAAUAAGCUUCAAGCCUAUAUUGUAUUACCUUUACAUAUCUAAUUUAAGCUAAUGAUAAUCGCAGCUAAAGAACUAGCAUACUUCAAGCCUAUAUUGUAUUACCUUUACAUAUCUAAUUUAGGCUUACGAUAAUCGCAGCUAAAAUGCGUAUUUGAAAAACAUGAUACUUGUUGUAUUAUCUUUUAUUUAUUUUUUGGCACAA